This 497-nucleotide ribosomal RNA is filed under the name uncultured bacterium. RNAcentral's name for it is "partial 16S ribosomal RNA". It matches the Rfam family "Bacterial small subunit ribosomal RNA", at positions 28 to 507 of the family's 1533-position model. The record is from RNAcentral.
GAUGAACGCUGGCGGCGUGCCUAAUACAUGCAAGUCGAGCGAACGGACGAGAAGCUUGCUUCUCUGAUGUUAGCGGCGGACGGGUGAGUAACACGUGGAUAACCUACCUAUAAGACUGGGAUAAAUUCGGGAAACCGGAGCUAAUACCGGAUAAUAUUUUGAACCGCAUGGUUCAAAAGUGAAAGACGGUCUUGCUGUCACUUAUAGAUGGAUCCGCGCUGCAUUAGCUAGUUGGUAAGGUAACGGCUUACCAAGGCAACGAUGCAUAGCCGACCUGAGAGGGUGAUCGGCCACACUGGAACUGAGACACGGUCCAGACUCCUACGGGAGGCAGCAGUAGGGAAUCUUACGCAAUGGGCGAAAGCCUGACGGAGCAACGCCGCGGGAGUGAUGAAGGUCUUCGGAUCGUAAAACUCUGUUAUUAGGGAAGAACAUAUGUGUAAGUAACUGUGCACAUCUUGACGGUACCUAAUCAGAAAGCCACGGCUAACUACGUG